Molecule: long non-coding RNA, 1035 nt
Organism: Entelurus aequoreus (snake pipefish)
Lineage: Eukaryota; Metazoa; Chordata; Actinopteri; Syngnathiformes; Syngnathidae
Exons: 7
Source: RefSeq, a predicted model, not a curated record
CGUACAAGCCGCUAGAUGUCACCGCCGCCAUUUUGGACGAGGAGAGCAAAAAAGAAUACUAUUUUGUUUCAGGAGUCCUCGAAAACUAUCCACUUUUAAUCAGAAAUCCACCUCACAUCAAGCUUUUUUCAGCCUUUUCUGGACCAUAAAAUGACUGAUUAAGGAUAAUCAAGCACAGCAAUAAUGUAGACCUAAGCACUUGGAGAGGAUGUUACAUCAGAAAUCCACCUCACAUCAAGCUUUUUCCGCCUCUUCCGGACCAUAAAAUGACUGAUUAAGGAUAAUCAAGCACAGCAAUAAUGUAGGCCAAUGCACUUGGAGAGGAUGUUACAUCAGAAAUCCACCUCACAUCAAGCUUUUUUCAGCCUUUUCCGGACCAUAAAAUGACUGAUUAAGGAUAAUCAAGCACAGCAAUAAUGUAGACCUAAGCACUUGGAGAGGAUGUUACAUCAGAUGCACAGUCUGACAUGCCUCUGCUUUUAAUGCGCCCGUAUGACAGACGUACUGGCUUUAAAGCAGCUGUUUCUGUGCGCACUCACUAAAUGGCCUGGUGUUGGAGAUCGGGAAUCUUUGAGUCCUGCAGAGCCGGGAACAUCCAAAAGAGGCCAUUUCAUCUGCAGGAUUGAUUAAGAUGAUGAGGCGUCAGGAGAGAUUUCAACAGCCACAAUCACGGCCCGAGGGUAGAUCAACUGGUGGCCAGAAAAUGUAUUCACAGGAUGUUGUUCCUGCAUCUGCCUCGCUUUGAAGUUGCCCACUCCACAUGAGCCUGUCAUACGUGACCGUAGGUUCAUUAUCCUCAUGCACUUUUAAUGCCUGAGAAAAGGCUGCUACUACUACGUGUUCUACGAAGUCUAUUUUCUACCGUGUUGUCAUGCUUUAGAGAGAAACAGAAAAGGUGGGGGAUGAGAUGAUGCGAGUCGAUCCACUCCUCCGAGGAUUCAAGGUCAUCCUUUUAUGUUUCACCAACCAUCGGCCAGUCACGUUCCAAUCAAAGUGGUGCUUAAUUCAGCAGUAAAUUCCAUCUCCUCAUCAUGU